Long non-coding RNA from Camarhynchus parvulus, 5697 nucleotides. RefSeq lists it as uncharacterized. The transcript is spliced from 3 exons. Lineage: Eukaryota; Metazoa; Chordata; Aves; Passeriformes; Thraupidae. The record is from RefSeq and is a predicted model, not a curated record.
CGCUGCCCCUUUAAGGCAGCGCAGCCCCGCGCGCAUUCCAGCGGCCGCGUCACCGUUCCGGGAAGCGGUGGCGUCACCGCGCCAUCCCAUCCCUCUCUCGCUCCCUCUCUCGCUCCGUGCCGCGCUCCGUGCCGUGGCGGGGCGGGCCCGGGAACAAAGGCGCGAUAUAAAUAGAAGGUAGAAAAGAAGAGUAAAGAUGUGAGCAAGAACUUUAGGAUAUGUGCAGUCUGCCAUGGGGUGUUUUGGGGUCACGGACUGGCUCAGACGGUGGCAGAGUUUGUCUCCAGCUCUGUUCAGAAGUGCACACGGAUGGAGCAGCCGCUGGAUGUCCCUCUUGCUCCGCUUUCCUGCACAAGGAGCACCUUCGGGAGGGACGAGCCUGCAGCUAGGACAGACAAACGGGGCAGUGUGGGAGCAGCUGCUCGCUGCUGCCCAGCUGGCUGCGAUGAUGUGACACAACUCUGAGCACAAGAGAUGGUGAGGUGUCAGCAAGAGUGACAGACGAGAAAUGCGGUUUUCUUCCAUUACAAGAGUACUUUUUUUCCCACCCCAUUCUUCUCAGCUGUGCUCUGUGUCACUCUACCAAACCUGCUGCCAAUAACUGAAGACUAUUUGAAAAAAUUUAUAGAAUUUAUAAUGCCUUUCUCAACAGUUACCAUAUGUAAGCAAGUUCUCUGUUAGGCUGGAUGGAAGAAAUGCACCAGGUUCUUUUUUCAUGCCAGGGGGUUCUGGCCCAGAUCAGUUUAGCUGGGAGCACCUUCAUAUAAACAAGAUUUCACCUUUCUGGAAGAGUCUGCACUCUCUGUUCUGAAACAGAAUUGAGAGACAUACCUUCAGAACUUCCAAUGAAAUCCUGCUCUGAAACAGUGGGUGGGCAUUAGGAGAGAAUGUUCGUUACCUGUGUGAGUCAAGGGUACAGGACCAGGCUCUUUAUGUUACUCAGCUGCUGUGUUGGAAAGGCAAUGGAAAUUAUCAGCCCUUGUUUGUUUGAGGCAUCAAAAAUACACAAAUGCAGCAAAACUCUUCAGAAGCUCUGUGGAGGCUGGGAACCUCAGGGUGUCUGACUUGUGUAGAACCAAAAGGUUCUGCUCUGCUGCCUAGCACAGAGCUCUCAGGGAUGGGAACACAGGGGAGAACAGAGAAGUGCCUCACACAGUGCUUUCAGAAGGACCAUGAGGGUGACUGCAGGGAAUUUGUGUUUCAGUGAUCUAGCUAGGCUAAUAUGGGAAUUUGGGUUAGGUUGGAAUGUAAUAGGGAGCUCAAAGUUUCAAGAUAAUGUGAUAACUAGAUCAUUUUUUGCAUUCCUCAAAUCUCCACACUAUUUUCAGAAAGUUUCACCUGUAUAUGAUGAAGUGUAUGUUUCCUUAUAUUCAUAUUAUAUCUUCAAUCCUUUAACUUAGAAACCAACUUAGAUUACAAAUUCUGAAUGCUAAAAGUCUGAUAUAUUUCUGGAUUUUGAUGGAUUUUUUCCCUGUGUAUUUUUUCUCAGUAUAUAUGAAAGGAGUUACAUAACUUGUGACUUUAGUGGUCGGCCAAUAUUUGAUCUCCUCUAGUUUAUUUAUGUCAGAAAUGUUUAUACAAAGUGAUGUAUCUUUGUGUACAUUCUUUGUAAUCAAAGUAGGAUUAAGCUGAGGUCCCGUUUUCCUGAAUGUAGCAGGAAAAAAGACAAUAGGAAACAGCUCUUUUGGCAGUACCCCAAGCCUCUCUCUUCAAUCAGGGCUGGACUCAGAAAAUCCUUGCUCUAUUUAUCUUUUUGUGGUAAUUCAGGAUCAUUCUACAAAGUGUUUCACUGGUUUGGGGUGUUUUCUUACCUACAUUUGUAACAUUCCUGACUGGGCCACACAAUUUUGCUAAAAUUACAUACACACAAUUUUGUGUUUACAUCCACAUGGCUCAGAUGGUUUUUUUAUUUGUUUGUCUUGUGGUUGGUGCUUGGGAGGCAAAUACCUAUUUGUCUGCAUCUUCAGCUAUAUUUCAAACACAUUUUCUUCUCUAGGACUACAAACUGGUUUAAUUCCACUCCAUUUUCUGCUGGGUUUCUCUGAGGCCAUUCAGGAAAACAGGCAGGAAAAGACAUUUUGGUCUCUCUUAUCUCAGACAGUGAAAUUUAAGGAAUAUCAGAAGUGUUGUUUAGCAGUCUAAACUAAGCAUUAAACAGGGGAGGUGCUUAUUACCAUGUUCUUAAAGUCUGGGGCAGACAAAUCUGCAUUUUCCUAUACUGAAUAUUUAAAAGCCCUUAGUCCUUCUGGAUUUUAGCUUUUCCAGGGUUGUAUUUAGAAAGAUGUUUUCCUAAUCCUGACUAUGUAUAAAAACAAUAAUCAGAAGUAGUUGUUCUGUGCAAGAGCCAAAAUGCUUGGUUGUUAUCUUAGACAGGCAGUGAAACCCCUGGAGAACUAUUUAAUUAUGUAAAUUAGCAUGAAAUUAGAAAAUUAGGUUUACUUUGAAUUUGGGAGGGGGGAAGGGAUGUUUGGUUUUUUCCCCUGCAAAACCAAGAAUAAGCACCAUCAAAACAUGUGGUUUGUUUCUAUAGCUUUUAGCUAGAUUUAUCAAUUGCUUCAGGUUCAUAAGUAGUCAUCUCAUCUGUAUCUUGCAACAAUAUUUGUCAAAACUCCCAGUAGUGUGGAUGUCUUAAUAUUCUUCAAAAGGAGAAAUGAAGGAAAGGGAUAAUAAUGUACACAGAUGUACAGUGAAGUACAGAGCUCUGAAGUUCCAAAGUUGGGGGUUUUUUAACCAAAAGAAAGUGUCCAUUUAAGUCUAGAAUUAUGGAAGAAAAGUGGAUAUGUAAUUGUGUUCAUAAUCAGAGAGGUGCUUUUUUGGUGUGUUAAAUAAUGUAAAAUAUGUAGGUUUUUAGCAGCAUGGAAAACCUGAAAGCUGAUAAUAUAUAGGAGGUUACUGUGGUCUAGGAAAAAGAGGGGGGACUGGAUUCCAAAAUAGUGAAAUUCAGCAUGGCUCAGUUGGACCUCUGUGUUUCUAUUGAUGUCCACUAGUUGAAAAUUAGUUUAUGAUUUCAAGUUGCAUAGAAACAAAGCAAACCAACAAAAAAUUACUGCUAUGAAAGCAUCCAUCUAGGAAAACAUUAGGGGGAGAAAAAUACAGUGAAAACAGCACUCUUUCUAAAUUAAAUUUAGUAUUGCAUUUAAUAAAGUUUCCUGGUAGGGAGUUCCUGAAAAAUGUGGACUGAAAUGUGAAGCAAACUGUCAAUGCUCUUUUAGCUGCCUUGAUGGUACAUUUACAAGAAUACAUUUCUUAAAUAUUUUUUUUCAUCACUUCUAAAGAAAAAAGAAAUGCUUCAUAACCAUCUGGAGGAGCAUUUGCUAUGAUUGUUUCCAAAGGGGCAGCUUAAGAGUUUCAUAAAUAUCAAAGUUAAUAGGCUCCUAGAAACAAGGAAAAUUGCCUGUAGGUGAUUUCUACUUACACAGAAACAGCUCCUCUCUGAACUGCAGUCUUCUCUAAACUUUCUCUCCAGGCCUGUUGCCUAUUACUGUGCUGUCCUGUUCCUACUUCCUUUAGCUGGUUUGAAUCAACAGUGGGUAGAGCAAUACUUAUAUGAAAUGUACUUGAGGGUGAAACACAAUCUCACAAAUUACAGAAAAUAAACAAUGUUCAGUGUAGCUUGUGGCCAUAGGCAGAUCAGAAGCAGUCUAAUGAAAACACACUGGCUUUUUGGAAACGAAACAGCUAUGCCACAUUGUCAUAAAGCCAUAGUUAGGGCUGGGUUUGAAGAAGAGAAAAUCUUUUAAAAGUGGCUUCCAGAAAGAAGUUUGAGAAAUAAUUUUUUUUCCAUGUAUUGAUUUGCUAUUUGGUAUGCAGUAGGAGAUGCUUUUCCUUUAUUUUUGCACCUCCUGAUGUUAAUUACUAAAAAUAUAAAAUCAUUGUUUUCUGCAUAAGCAGGAUAAUAUGUAUAUGCCUCAUAAUGGUCAUACUUGGAAUAAGAGCUCUUUCCUCUCCUUAAAGGUGCAGGAAAACCACAUCAUCAUUACACAGCUCACAGAAACAUGCUUGGGAAAGGACGUGCACUAUGACAAGAUGUGCUAGAAAUUGGCUCUUCCUGUUGGGUUUCAUCAGGCUUUGAGUCCUGAUGGGCUUUCUGCUGGCAGAGCCUUAAAGCUCUUUAGGCAGAGCCUAAAGGCAACAGAGCUGGUUUUACAGAGGCAGCAGGAGGCUGAAACAAGGCUGAGCAGUGCUGGUUAUUGCAUGGGAAGAGACUGGUGACAACUGCUGGGGCUGUCCCUGUGAGGUCUGAGCUGGGUCCAGCCAGGAAGGACGGGUGAAUUGUGAUUUAGUUCACAAUAUUGCAUCCACACGUGGGAUGCCCAUUAGAUACAAAUGAAGAGGGCCUUGCUCUAUUCUUCUUUACUGUUCCAUGUUCUGGUAAUUUCAUUUUAUGUGUAGACAGUUGUUCAUCAUGUUGGAUAUUUGUAUUUCACAUUCCUCACGUUUCCUAAAUUUUUUGUUGGUGGGGAAGAAACAUUCAUAAAGUUGUGGCAAGUUUCAGAAGUCUGCUAUCAGAAGUUUUACGUAGGACCUUUUAUAUAAAUCUUGGUUUUUGAAAGCUAACUCAGGAAGUACAUUGUUGCUAUUAGCACCCCUGGGGGACUGGCUCCCUCUAGAAAAUAAACGUAUGCUUCCCUAGCAAAGAUGAUGUUGUAGUCUUGAUUGAAGAGUGAGCUCUUAAUUCCUUCAACCGCUGUUUUUUUAGCAAAUCCAUCCCUGAUUCUCUCUUGCAGGGUGUAGAGUAAAAUAAGGAAAAACAUCUUUCCUCCUUCAGGCAACACGGAAACCUCUCCCUCCCUCCUUCUGUCCAUCCAGCUGCAGCUGAACAAAAAACAUCAUAGGAACUUAAGGGGAGAAAUAUAAUCCAAUAUCUAUUUCUUCUAAUCAUUAUAUACAGUAUAAAAUAAUACUUCAUUCCCAACAGCUCACUUUAUAGCAUGUGUUUCUUCUUUCCCCACUUCACUAGUCUGAAAUAAUUCCUGCUGGUUCUGGCAGGAGCCAGCCACACAGCAAGGCUCUGGACUUCUCUUACUCUCCUGUGGCUGUCAACAUCAAAAUUUCUAUUACCUCUCUCUCCCUUCAUUGUGGGGAUCCUUCUCUCCCCUUACUCUCUUUUUAUCACUGAUUUCUCCAUCCUCCUCAUGUCACUCUUUUGUUUUCUUGAUUCUCCAAGAGCUUUUCAGUUUGCCCCACACUGGCAGGAUGGAACCCUACUGUGUAUUUUGUUCUGCCUGAUUGGGAAACUUAGCAACCCUUGGACUUCUCCAAACUGUGUAAUUGAAUUGUCUAAAGUGUUAAUCAUCAUUGGAUUAUUCUGACAUUCUUGAUGCAAAAAUAUGUACAUUAAAAUAAUAACAUAAUUACAGAAUUUGCUUUUAGCAUGAAUAUAUUUCUUCUUAGUGACACUGAAAUGAUUUACUACUCCCAAUAUUUAUAUAUUGUUUUGACAGAUAUGCAGUGGGCUGUGAGUAAUUUUAAGGUGGUACAGUUUAUUCCAUGCUGCUUCAAAGCAAGGAUUUCUCCCCUCCCCUUUUACCCCAUCACAUUUUAUUAUUAAUGGACACAUUUGAAUUGUCAGCUUUCCCAAAACCUUGGUGUAUUGGCUGGAAUGAUCAGAAUGAUUGCUUAACCAUGUCAUCACUAACUAGGAGUACUGAACAUGCUCUUGCUAUAUCUUUUCCCUAGUAGUUCUUCUGGUUUGGU